GACGAACGCUGGCGGCGUGCUUAACACAUGCAAGUCGAACGGAAAGGCCCUGCUUUUGUGGGGUGCUCGAGUGGCGAACGGGUGAGUAACACGUGAGUAACCUGCCCUUGACUUUGGGAUAACUUCAGGAAACUGGGGCUAAUACCGGAUAGGAGCUCCUGCUGCAUGGUGGGGGUUGGAAAGUUUCGGCGGUUGGGGAUGGACUCGCGGCUUAUCAGCUUGUUGGUGGGGUAGUGGCUUACCAAGGCUUUGACGGGUAGCCGGCCUGGGAGGGUGACCGGCCACAUGGGGACUGAGAUACGGCCCAGACUCCUACGGGAGGCAGCAGUGGGGAAUAUUGCACAAUGGGCGGAAGCCUGAUGCAGCAACGCCGCGUGCGGGAUGACGGCCUUCGGGUUGUAAACCGCUUUCGCCUGUGACGAAGCGUGAGUGACGGUAAUGGGUAAAGAAGCACCGGCUAACUACGUG
Molecule: ribosomal RNA, 468 nt
Filed under: uncultured bacterium
Lineage: Bacteria
Description: partial 16S ribosomal RNA
Rfam family: Bacterial small subunit ribosomal RNA
Source: RNAcentral